AGAGAAUUCAUUGUACACUGCCUGCAAAGUUGAGGAAAUGCUUUCAGAGAAAAUGAUAAACUUCAACGGUUGCACCAAAAACUUCAACAGUCAUCAAAAACCAACAAAGUUUUAGAGCAUUGAUAUUUUAAAAAAAAAAAAUUAUUUGGAAAUAAUAUAAGGAGUAAAUGAGUCAUUAACAUUCUAGGAAAGGAUGUGCCAGAUUCAGAUUCCAAUAAUCAGAGGGGAAAAUUAUCAGAAAAUUUUUAACACGCUAUCAUCAACCUUGGGGGAAUAUUUAACCUAUCUAUUACUACAAACAACAUCCUUCAUGCCUUGUAUCAUUAUUAAGUUAUAGUUACCUGAAAA
This 348-nucleotide unclassified non-coding RNA is filed under the name Hevea brasiliensis (rubber tree). The record is from RNAcentral. Lineage: Eukaryota; Viridiplantae; Streptophyta; Magnoliopsida; Malpighiales; Euphorbiaceae.